Long non-coding RNA from Pan troglodytes (chimpanzee), 2203 nucleotides. RefSeq lists it as uncharacterized. The transcript is spliced from 5 exons. The record is from RefSeq and is a predicted model, not a curated record. Lineage: Eukaryota; Metazoa; Chordata; Mammalia; Primates; Hominidae.
GCAGGGGCGCGGGCGGUUCGGUCAUGGCGGUCUGCAGGUCUCGAGCCCUGCCGCGUGGGGAGGCGGCUGAGGCCCGGUGAGAAUUCAAGCCUGGCGCUGGAGGUCUGGUAGCGGUCGGGGACCCAGCGCAUACUCCGCUGCGGCUGGCCUGGGUGCCAAGCCCCUCAUUGCGGGCCGGCGGCUCUGAGUGCAGGCCCGCUGAGGCUGCGCCCACCUGGAACUCGCGCUGGCCCGCGAGCCGUGCCGCCCCGCCCGGCCCAGCCCGGGUUCCCGCCUGCGCCUCUACCUCCACACCUCCCUACAAGCGGAGGGAGCCGGCUCUGGCCUCGACCAGCCCAGAGACGGGCUGGGACAGUGCAGUGGCGGGCUGAAGGGCUCCGAGGCCGAGGAGGUGCUGAGAGUGAGUGAGGGCUGCUAGCACGUUGUCACCUCUCAGUAACUGGAACACAUUAUUACUCCAGGUUGUCAAUGUGAAAAGCCAAAGGUAAGCAUGCAAAUUCUGGACUGAACAGGAGAGUAAAUUUAAAGUUCGGCAUAGUGAGCAGCUACUGCGGAACAGAGUGUCCAACAGUCUUUGUCAUGUCACCAGGAUUAAAUGACACAAAUGGGGACUAGACAUCUCAGCCAUAUGCCUGGUCUUUCUCUUGGAAAAUUGUUUAAUUAUGAACCUAUACGAGGCAUACUCCAGUGCAACGGGAGAUGAAAAACAACAGGAGAUGAUAGAGCAAUGGAAGGCAUUACAGGUGUGCAUGAUUGAUUAUGUCAACAACAAAAGCAAAUUUGAAGAGGAAGACAAUUCCCCUGAGGCAGAAAGACAUGAGACCCGCUAUGCUAAAAAUUACAGAGAAAGAGAAAGAAGAAAAUGUGGGUAAGGAAUGCCAUUAAUUUCCUCUCUAAAUGAGUCAAGUAACAGGAGGAUUCCACCAGUGAGCUGCCUGAGCUCCUCAUUCUUUGCAUCACCUGCCAUCAGUGACAGGUUGUUUCCAAAGAACUGAUAGUCAUUUAACCCAGGAAGGUAAAGCCAACGUAAGAGACCUGGCAGCUAAAAUGGAAUAUCACCUUAACUGGCAGUUUCAAUAAAAGUGUAUGCCCUACAGAAAACAGAUUAAUUUAGCCUAAUCUCCUUUCCUUUUUCCAAUCUCCAAUAAUAGUGAAUAUACCAAGAGUGACAGUGGUGAAAUAUCCUCUAUUCCAGAUGAUAGAUAGAAAACACUGUGUUCAGAAGAAAGGAUGAUUUUUACUCCAUUAGAAUAGUGUUAAACCCACUUGACUCUAUCACAGUCUAAGUUUUUUUUUUUUUUAAUUUUCCUGUGGAAAUUAUCUUAGUAUAGUGUAAGUAUUAAAUGCGUGGUGAUUCCAGAACUUUAUUGGUUUAUGAACCUUAGAUUAAAUAUGUAAAAUGACUGUCUUCAUACAGUCAGCAAGAUUUCAGAGUUCAAACUGGAGGGGAUGCAUUUGACAUGCCUUUUGUGGGACCAAGUAGGAAUGCUUAGCAAACAUUAGGAUAUAGAUGUCUGAAACCCAGAAAACAGGCCUUGGCUGGAGAAGUACAGCUGGUGUUCAGCAUAUAGGCGGUGUGAUUAAUGUGGGAAUCCAUGAAGCUAGCUAAUGUGAGCAUGUGCAGAAAGAGACCUAGUUUGGGUCCUUAAGAUAAUUUUACUUGAAUAUUUUUAGUAAAUAAGAGAUUAUAGGAGAAUAUGGAAUCAUAAAAGAGGAGGAAACAGUGUUUUGUUAUCAAAAACUUGGUUCUCUUCGGUGAGUUUUGACUUUUAGGGAGUCAAGAAAGUUGAGCCUGUAAAACUAUUUACUGGAUUUUUCAGCCGGGGAUGACAGAGCUGCAGUUGUUUUACUUGAAUGAUGAAAUAUAAACCUGGUUAGAGUAUAUUAGUUUAUUAAUUUGUUAGUUAUUUUACCUGAUUUAAUUCAAGAGCUCUUGUGGAUUAAAUGAUUAUCAAGAAUUUUGUGGUAUAAAGCAAUAAUUUCUAGUGUUCAGUAGGACAGUAGGGUGACUGUAGUUAACAACAAUAUAUUGUAUAUUUCAAAAUUGAUACAAGAUUUUUAAUGUCCCCAAAGCAAAUAAAUGAUAAAUGUUUGAUGAGUAUCCUAAAUACCUUGAUGUGAUCAAUACACAUUGUAUGCAUGUAUAAGAAGACCACAUGUACCCCAUAAAUAUGUAUAAUCAUUAUGUGUCAAUAAAACAUUU